GAUAAACGCUGGCGGCGUGCCUAAUACAUGCAAGUCGAGCGAACGGACGAGAAGCUUGCUUCUCUGAUGUUAGCGGCGGACGGGUGAGUAACACGUGGAUAACCUACCUAUAAGACUGGGAUAACUUCGGGAAACCGGAGCUAAUACCGGAUAAUAUUUUGAACCGCAUGGUUCAAAAGUGAAAGACGGUCUUGCUGUCACUUAUAGAUGGAUCCGCGCUGCAUUAGCUAGUUGGUAAGGUAACGGCUUACCAAGGCAACGAUGCAUAGCCGACCUGAGAGGGUGAUCGGCCACACUGGAACUGAGACACGGUCCAGACUCCUACGGGAGGCAGCAGUAGGGAAUCUUCCGCAAUGGGCGAAAGCCUGACGGAGCAACGCCGCGUGAGUGAUGAAGGUCUUCGGAUCGUAAAACUCUGUUAUUAGGGAAGAACAUAUGUGUAAGUAACUGUGCACAUCUUGACGGUACCUAAUCAGAAAGCCACGGCUAACUACGUGCCAGCAGCCGCGGUAAUACGUAGGUGGCAAGCGUUAUCCAGAAUUAUUGGGCGUAAAGCGCGCGUAGGCGGUUUUUUAAGUCUGAUGUGAAAGCCCACGGCUCAACCGUGGAGGGUCAUUGGAAACUGGAAAACUUGAGUGCAGAAGAGGAAAGUGGAAUUCCAUGUGUAGCGGUGAAAUGCGCAGAGAUAUGGAGGAACACCAGUGGCGAAGGCGACUUUCUGGUCUGUAACUGACGCUGAUGUGCGAAAGCGUGGGGAUCAAACAGGAUUAGAUACCCUGGUAGUCCACGCCGUAAACGAUGAGUGCUAAGUGUUAGGGGGUUUCCGCCCCUUAGUGCUGCAGCUAACGCAUUAAGCACUCCGCCUGGGGAGUACGACCGCAAGGUUGAAACUCAAAGGAAUUGACGGGGACCCGCACAAGCGGUGGAGCAUGUGGUUUAAUUCGAAGCAACGCGAAGAACCUUACCAAAUCUUGACAUCUUUUGACAACUCUAGAGAUAGAGCCUUCCCCUUCGGGGGACAAAGUGACAGGUGGUGCAUGGUUGUCGUCGGCUCGUGUCGUGAGAUGUUGGGUUAAGUCCCGCAACGAGCGCAACCCUUAAGCUUAGUUGCCAUCAUUAAGUUGGGCACUCUAAGUUGACUGCCGGUGACAAACCGGAGGAAGGUGGGGAUGACGUCAAAUCAUCAUGCCCCUUAUGAUUUGGGCUACACACGUGCUACAAUGGACAAUACAAAGGGCAGCGAAACCGCGAGGUCAAGCAAAUCCCAUAAAGUUGUUCUCAGUUCAGAUUGUAGUCUGCAACUCGACUACAUGAAGCUGGAAUCGCUAGUAAUCGUAGAUCAGCAUGCUACGGUGAAUACGUUCCCGGGUCU
RNAcentral lists this ribosomal RNA (1372 nucleotides) under uncultured bacterium. Its description in RNAcentral is "bacterial SSU rRNA". It matches the Rfam family "Bacterial small subunit ribosomal RNA", at positions 28 to 1381 of the family's 1533-position model. The record is from RNAcentral.